Molecule: ribosomal RNA, 253 nt
Filed under: uncultured bacterium
Lineage: Bacteria
Description: partial 16S ribosomal RNA
Rfam family: Bacterial small subunit ribosomal RNA
Source: RNAcentral
UACGGAGGGGGCUAGCGUUGCUCGGAAUCACUGGGCGUAAAGCGCACGUAGGCGGCUUUCUAAGUCAGGGGUGAAAUCCUGGAGCUCAACUCCAGAACUGCCUUUGAUACUGGAGAGCUAGAGUCCGGAAGAGGUGAGUGGAACUGCGAGUGUAGAGGUGAAAUUCGUAGAUAUUCGCAAGAACACCAGUGGCGAAGGCGGCUCACUGGUCCGGUACUGACGCUGAGGUGCGAAAGCGUGGGGAGCAAACAGG